Syngnathus typhle (broad-nosed pipefish) is the source of this 667-nucleotide long non-coding RNA. RefSeq lists it as uncharacterized. The transcript is spliced from 3 exons. The record is from RefSeq and is a predicted model, not a curated record. Lineage: Eukaryota; Metazoa; Chordata; Actinopteri; Syngnathiformes; Syngnathidae.
GUGAGCACAACUUGUCUGCUCCACUGAUCUCCUAAGGCUCACUUCAGCAGUGUGCAAAGAGAAAAGCUGGAAAAGUGCAUCCUGAUUAUGUGAGCAAAUUGCAUCUUCAACCAUCAUCGACGCACUCCAUUAUUUUCAAAAACAGUUUCUGGCAUCCUCACAUCAUGGUUCCUGUGGCGAGCUACAGAGGUCACCAGUCAGUGAGUCCGACAGGCCCAUGAAUAAGAGAGGACCGUUAUCUGUCCUGACUCACCUGGGGACAUUGCACGAUGAAAUAAAUGGGAGCGUCACCAUAUAUCAAUAAAGGAUGGACACUUGAAAGACUUUGCAGAAGAUGCUGAAGUAAAACUACUUUGUUUCUUUUAAACACCAUCUCAACACACACUAAUGGUCAGACAUGGCAAGAUCACAAUGUGGGGUGCUCGGCAACUGUGUGCAGGCGUGACUCGAGUGCAACGUUUUACAGGUGUGUUUGCAGUGGUUUUUAGUCUUGUAGGUUGUGUCCUAUUUUUUUCCCCCUCCAACUGUGCCUGUCAACCUGUCUUUCAAUCAGCUCCAUCAGCCAAUUGUGUGUGUGGCUUGGAUUUAGUUUCCUGGUUUCAUUCACUCCUUGUCGGUUCAUUGCCCUUGUCUCGUUAUGUUGUGUGUUAGGGUGUUUUGCAUUUUG